This is an RNA transcript of Chenopodium quinoa (quinoa), 1101 nucleotides long. RefSeq lists it as uncharacterized. The record is from RefSeq and is a predicted model, not a curated record. The transcript is spliced from 6 exons. NCBI's taxonomy places the organism in Eukaryota, Viridiplantae, Streptophyta, Magnoliopsida, Caryophyllales, Amaranthaceae.
UCACGUUCAUUUUCACUUUCACUCUAACUAAUACCCUAAAAAAAAUGUAAAGUACUGCAUGUAUUGUUUAUUUCUUCGUGAAACCUCCAUAGUAUAACCUUCAGUCGCUGACUGUUUGCCGCGCCGCCGCACCACCGCUCCACCGAUCCACCGCCGCACAACUUCUGAGCACCUCACCACUCCAUUGAGGGUGCUCUGCUUCAGGAGAACGCCUGGUUUUGGCUGCUAGAGAUGGUGAUUUAUAGGAAGCCAAAGCGUUGUUGGAGUACAAUCCUCGUCUUGUGAGGUAUUCAACUUUUGGUGUUAGGAACUCCCCUUUGCAUUACUCUGCAGCUCAGGGCCACCAUGAGACUGCUCUGAUGCAAGCAUGUCAGCAUGGCCAUUGAGAGGUUGUACAGACUCUGGUUCUUUUCAAACAAUAUUCACAGAGCAGAUUAUCUUAAUGGGGGUACUGCUCUUCAUCUCUAGCUGCUUUGAAUGGGCAUACUCGGUGUAUUAGGCUCCUUCUUGCUGAUUAUAUCCCUAGCAUUUCUGUCACUUGGAAUCUAUUACAAAAGAAAUCAAAAAAUGAAUAUGGAAGCUCAGAGUUUAAUGCAAGUGCCCUCCGCCAAAGUAAUUAACAAACCUGCAGAUGGAGGGAUCACAACACUUCAUAUGGCUGCCUUGAAUGGGCAUUUUGAAACUGUCCAUCUUCUUUUGGAUCUUGGAGCUUUUGUUAGUGAAAUAACUGUGGAAGAUGGGACUACAAUUGAUCUCAUAGUAUUCAAAAAAAAAAAAGCAAGUUCUUCAUACAUAUUCUCAACAAAUGAUCGACUAGCUUAGGGAAAAGUGGAUUUCAUAUGUUACCGGAUACCAUCAACCAAAUGACGACGACGAUGAUUUAUGUGAAUUGUAGAUCAAUAUGGUAUUGAUAUAUCUAAGCAUAAUUUUUUUUAAAUCAACAUUAACUAUAAAGGUGUUUUGAUAUUUAAAUCACGUAUUUGUUUGUAUAGAACAAAUUUUGUAUGAAUGAUUCAAUUUAAUUGUGGUUGAAUGUUUUAAAUUAUAUAUAUGAAGUAGGUUUUGAUGGCUUUUGUUGUAUCUGAAAAUAUUUUUGUUAAU